RNAcentral lists this ribosomal RNA (460 nucleotides) under uncultured Flavobacteriaceae bacterium. RNAcentral's name for it is "bacterial SSU rRNA". It matches the Rfam family "Bacterial small subunit ribosomal RNA", at positions 338 to 795 of the family's 1533-position model. The record is from RNAcentral. Lineage: Bacteria; Pseudomonadati; Bacteroidota; Flavobacteriia; Flavobacteriales; Flavobacteriaceae.
CCUACGGGAGGCAGCAGUGAGGAAUAUUGGACAAUGGGCGCGAGCCUGAUCCAGCCAUGCCGCGUGCAGGAAGACUGCCCUAUGGGUUGUAAACUGCUUUUAUACGGGAAGAAACCCAUCUACGUGUAGGUGGCUGACGGUACCGUAAGAAUAAGCAUCGGCUAACUCCGUGCCAGCAGCCGCGGUAAUACGGAGGAUGCAAGCGUUAUCCGGAAUCAUUGGGUUUAAAGGGUCCGUAGGUGGACAAUUAAGUCAGAGGUGAAAUCCUGCAGCUCAACUGUAGAAUUGCCUUUGAUACUGGUUGUCUUGAAUUAUUGUGAAGUGGUUAGAAUAUGUAGUGUAGCGGUGAAAUGCAUAGAUAUUACAUAGAAUACCAAUUGCGAAGGCAGAUCACUAACAAUAUAUUGACACUGAUGGACGAAAGCGUGGGGAGCGAACGGGAUUAGAUACCCUGGUAGUC